CUCAGUAACGGCGAGUGAAGCGGCAACAGCUCAAAUUUGAAAUCUGGCCCCUUCGGGGUCCGAGUUGUAAUUUGCAGAGGGUGCUUUUGGUGUUGGCCGUGGUCUAAGUUCCUUGGAACAGGACGUCACAGAGGGUGAGAAUCCCGUACGUGGCCGCCGGCCCUCGCCUUGUAAAGCCCCUUCGACGAGUCGAGUUGUUUGGGAAUGCAGCUCUAAAUGGGAGGUAAAUUUCUUCUAAAGCUAAAUACCCGCCAGAGACCGAUAGCGCACAAGUAGAGUGAUCGAAAGAUGAAAAGCACUUUGGAAAGAGAGUGAAAAAGCACGUGAAAUUGUUGAAAGGGAAGCGCUUGCGGCCAGACGUGCCCGCGGUUGUUCAUCUGGGCUCUCGCCCGGUGCACUCCUCCGCGGGCAGGCCAGCAUCAGUUUGGGCGGUCGGACAAAGGUCUCUGUCACGUACCACCCCUCGGGGUGGCCUUAUAGGGGAGACGCAACACGGCCAGCCUGGACUGAGGUUCCGCGCAUCUGCUAGGAUGCUGGCGUAAUGGCAGCAAGCGGCCCGUCUUGAAACACGGACCAAGGAGUCUAACAUCUAUGCGAGUGUUUGGGUGUCAAGCCCGAGCGCGUAAUGAAAGUGAACGGAGGUGGGAACCCCUCGGGGCGCACCAUCGACCGAUCCUGAUGUCUUCGGAUGGAUUUGAGUAAGAGCAUAGCUGUUGGGACCCGAAAGAUGGUGAACUAUGCCUGAAUAGGGUGAAGCCAGAGGAAACUCUGGUGGAGGCUCGCAGCGGUUCUGACGUGCAAAUCGAUCGUCAAAUUUGGGCAUAGGGGCGAAAGACUAAUCGAACCAUCUAGUAGCUGGUUCCUGCCGAAGUU
RNAcentral lists this ribosomal RNA (873 nucleotides) under Dendryphion europaeum. RNAcentral's name for it is "eukaryotic LSU rRNA". It matches the Rfam family "Eukaryotic large subunit ribosomal RNA", at positions 79 to 968 of the family's 3401-position model. Lineage: Eukaryota; Fungi; Ascomycota; Dothideomycetes; Pleosporales; Torulaceae. The record is from RNAcentral.